RNAcentral lists this ribosomal RNA (257 nucleotides) under uncultured Gardnerella sp. RNAcentral's name for it is "partial 16S ribosomal RNA". It matches the Rfam family "Bacterial small subunit ribosomal RNA", at positions 99 to 355 of the family's 1533-position model. The record is from RNAcentral. Lineage: Bacteria; Bacillati; Actinomycetota; Actinomycetes; Bifidobacteriales; Bifidobacteriaceae.
CGAACGGGUGAGUAAUGCGUGACCAACCUGCCCCAUGCUCCAGAAUAGCUCUUGGAAACGGGUGGUAAUGCUGGAUGCUCCAACUUGACGCAUGUCUUGUUGGGAAAGUGUUUAGUGGCAUGGGAUGGGGUCGCGUCCUAUCAGCUUGUAGGCGGGGUAAUGGCCCACCUAGGCUUCGAACGGGUAGCCGGCCUGAGAGGGCGGACGGCCACAUUGGGACUGAGAUACGGCCCAGACUCCUACGGGAGGCAGCAGUU